AGUCAUCUGGUGUAGAGGUAACAUUCCUCCCUAUCACGGAGGAGAUCCGAGUUCAAGUCUUCGGGGUGACU
This 71-nucleotide transfer RNA is filed under the name Paramecium tetraurelia. It matches the Rfam family "tRNA". From Rfam's summary of the family: Transfer RNA (tRNA) molecules are approximately 80 nucleotides in length. Their secondary structure includes four short double-helical elements and three loops (D, anti-codon, and T loops). Lineage: Eukaryota; Ciliophora; Oligohymenophorea; Peniculida; Parameciidae. The record is from Rfam by way of RNAcentral.